RNAcentral lists this long non-coding RNA (232 nucleotides) under Nicotiana benthamiana. Its description in RNAcentral is "long non-coding RNA (NBEN_LNC013958)". Lineage: Eukaryota; Viridiplantae; Streptophyta; Magnoliopsida; Solanales; Solanaceae. The record is from RNAcentral.
CAAAACACAAAUCAUCUAUGGAUAGCCCUGCCAAGCCUCACCCAACCUCGGGUGAGGAGUACGAAAAACUCUAGGGACCCCUAUCCUACAACCCGGAUACUAGACCUCCAGGCUUUCCUAUCAGUGCCAUGUCCUCGGGAACCCGCAUUCUAGCCAUGUCAUGCCUAAUCACCUCUCCCCAAUACCUCUUAGGCCUCCCUCUGCCUCGCCGUACGCCGACCAUCGCCAGCCN